AGCGUACACGGGGGAUGCCUUGGCACCAACUGCCGAAGAAGGGCGUGGCAAGACUGCGAUAAGCCUCGGUUAGUCGUCUAGCUGACUUAACCGGGGAUUCCCGAAUGGGGUAACCCAAUUCACUAAAUGUGGAUUAUCUUUGAACUAACCCUUAAUUCAAAGAAGGUAAGCAGGGGAACUGAAACAUCUAAGUACCCUGAGGAAGAGAAAUCAAAAGAGAUUCCCGUAGUAGUGGCGAACGAAAUGGGAAUAGCCUAAACCAUAGAGGCUUCACGGCUUUGGGGCCCAUGUCUUUAUGGGGUUGCAAGAAGUAUGUGUUGAGGCCCAUAAAUCAACGAGGAGUAAGAAAACCAUUUUCUAUUCGAAUGUUCCUGGAACGGACUGCCAGAGAAGGUGAGAGCCCGGUAGAUUAAAGGAAAUGGUCUCCUUAUUACUUUCUUAAGUAGAGCGGGACACGUGAAAUCUUGCUUGAAUCUGGGGGGACCAUCCUCCAAGGCUAAAUACAGUUGGUGACCGAUAGUGAACUAGUACCGUGAGGGAAAGGUGAAAAGUACCCCGAGAGGGGAGUGAAAUAGACCUGAAACCGUGUACGUACAAACAGUCGGAGUAUCGAUUUAUCGAUAUGACGGCGUGCCUUUUGAAGAAUGAACCUGCGAGUUACUGGGACGUGGCAAGGUUAAUCUGCUAAGCAGAGGAGCCGAAGCGAAAGCGAGUCUGAAUAGGGCAUUCAGUCGCGUUCCGUAGACCCGAAACCAGGCGAGCUACCCAUGGCCAGGUUGAAGCUCAGAUAGUCUCUGAGUGAAGGACCGAACCCAUUUCAAGUACAAAUGGAUGGGAUGAGUUGUGGGUAGAGGUGAAAUGCCAAUCGAGCUUGGAAAUAGCUGGUUCUCCCCGAAAUGCAUUUAGGUGCAGCGUUGAAGAUUGACUUGAGGAGGUAAGGCUCUGGAUGGGUCAGGGGGUGCAAACUUACCGAUCCCAACCAAACCAAGAAUGCCUUAAGCUCGUACUUCAGCAGUGAGACAGUGGGGGAUAAGCUCCAUUGUCGAGAGGGAAACAGCCCAGACCACCGUCUAAGGUCCCCAAGUAUAUACUCAGUGUGAAAGGAAGUUGAAUCGCCAAAACAGCCAGGAGGUUGGCUUAGAAGCAGCCACCCUUUAAAGAGUGCGUAAUAGCUCACUGGUCGAGGGGUUCUGCGCCGACAAUUUAACGGGGCUUAAGUAUAUCACCGAAGACGUGGCAUCAGUUUACUGAUGGGUAGGGGAGCGUUCUGUAGGCAGUGAAGUCUAGUUGUAAAGCUAGGUGGAGCGUACAGAAGUGAGAAUGCAGGUAUGAGUAGCGUAUAUCUCGGUGAGAAUCCGAGACGUCGAAAAUCUGAGGAUUCCUACGCAACGUUUAUCGACGUAGGGUUAGUCGGUCCUAAGGUGUAUCCGAAAGGAGUAACCGAUGGACAGUAGGUCAAAAUUCCUACACCACCUAUUAUUCGUUUUAAUACAAAGGGGGGACACGGAAAGGUAGGCUGAGCGUGCCUAAUGGACAUGGUGCGUUCUUCUUUGAAGGCCAUCUCGCAAGACAUGUAAAUCAGUUAGCGAGGUUAUGAGCUGAGGAAGGAGAGAACUCUAGGGCUCGCCCUGGGGAAUUCGGUUGAACCUAUGCCGUCAAGAAAAGCCUCGUUGUAAGGAUAAUGGGUGACCGUACCGUAAACCGACACUGGUAGAUGAGCAUGAAAGUGCUAAGACGGUCGAGAGAACUCUGGUUAAGGAACUCGGCAAAAGGACCCCGUAACUUCGGGAUAAGGGGUUCCCUCGGGGUGAAGUCUAUUUACUAGACCAGCUCUAGAGGGACACAGCAAAUUGGCCCAAGCGACUGUUUAUCAAAAACACAGGUCUCUGCUAAGGGGUAACCCUAGGUAUAGAGGCUGACGCCUGCCCAGUGCCGGAAGGUUAAAGGGAAAGGUUAUCCGUAAGGAGAAGCUUUGAACUGAAGCCCCGGUGAACGGCGGCCGUAACUAUAACGGUCCUAAGGUAGCGAAGUCCCUUGUCGGGUAAGUUCCGACCCGCACGAAUGGCGUAACGACUUGGGCGCUGUCUCAACCAGAGACUCGGCGAAAUUGCAUUGGCCGUGAAGAUGCGGCCUACCCGCGACAGGACAAAAAGACCCCAUGGAGCUUUACUACAGCUUGGCAUUGAAUUGAGGACUGGAAUGUGUAGGAUAGGUGGGAGGCUUUGAAGCUUCGGCGCUAGUCGAAGUGGAGCCGUUGUUGAAAUACCACUCUUUUCUGUUGUUGAUUCUAACCUGUGAUAGGCACAGGGACCGUGUCUGGUGGGUAGUUUGACUGGGGCGGUCGCCUCCCAAAGAGUAACGGAGGCGUACAAAGGUUCGCUCAGGACGGAUGGAAAUCGUCCGAAGAGUGCAUUGGCAUAAGCGAGCUUGACUGUGAGACCUACAAGUCGAGCAGGUGCGAAAGCAGGUCAAAGUGAUCCUACGGUUCCGCAUGGAAGGGCCGUGGCUUAACGGAUAAAAGCUACCCUGGGGAUAACAGGCUUAUCUUGCCCAAGAGUUCACAUCGACGGCAAGGUUUGGCACCUCGAUGUCGGCUCGUCGCAUCCUGGGGCUGGAGAAGGUCCCAAGGGUCCGGCUGUUCGCCGGUUAAAGCGGCACGCGAGCUGGGUUCAGAACGUCGUGAGACAGUUCGGUCUCUAUCCGUCGUGGGCGCAGGAGAUUUGAGGAGAGCUCUUCUUAGUACGAGAGGACCGGAAGGGACAAACCUCUGGUGUUUCGGUUGUUCCGCCAGGAGCAGUGCCGAGUAGCUAUGUUUGGAUGUGAUAAGCGCUGAAGGCAUAUAAGCGCGAAGCCAACUCCAAGAUUAGAUCUCCCAUCUUGU
RNAcentral lists this ribosomal RNA (2881 nucleotides) under marine metagenome. RNAcentral describes it as "bacterial LSU rRNA". It matches the Rfam family "Bacterial large subunit ribosomal RNA". The record is from RNAcentral.